Molecule: ribosomal RNA, 253 nt
Filed under: uncultured bacterium
Lineage: Bacteria
Description: partial 16S ribosomal RNA
Rfam family: Bacterial small subunit ribosomal RNA
Source: RNAcentral
UACAGAGUUCUCAAGCGUUGUUCGGAUUCAUUGGGCGUAAAGGGUGUGUAGGUGGCGCGCUAAGUCGGGUGUGAAAUUUCGGAGCUUAACUCCGAAACUGCAUUCGAUACUGGCGUGCUUGAGGACUGGAGAGGAGACUGGAAUUCAUGGUGUAGCAGUGAAAUGCGUAGAGAUCAUGAGGAAGACCAGUGGCGAAGGCGGGUCUCUGGACAGUUCCUGACACUGAGACACGAAGGCCAGGGGAGCAAACGGG